GUGGAUUAGAUACUCUGGUAGUCCACGCUGUAAACGAUGAUCACUCGCUGUUUGCGAUAUACGGUAAGCGGCUGAGCGAAAGCAAUAAGUGAUCCACCUGGGGAGUACGAUCGCAAGGUUGAAACUCAAAGGAAUUGACGGGGGCCCGCACAAGCGGAGGAACAUGUGGUUUAAUUCGAUGAUACGCGAGGAACCUUACCUGGGCUUAAAUGGGGAGUGACAGCUGCUGAAAGGUGGCCUUCUUCGGACACUCUUCAAGGUGCUGCACGGCUGUCGCCAGCU
RNAcentral lists this ribosomal RNA (282 nucleotides) under uncultured bacterium. RNAcentral's name for it is "partial 16S ribosomal RNA". It matches the Rfam family "Bacterial small subunit ribosomal RNA", at positions 773 to 1060 of the family's 1533-position model. The record is from RNAcentral.